ACUUGUCAGUGAAAGAAGAGCUUGCAUCUGCUUGAUGUCUUUUGGAUCAAGUCAUCUGCCAGCCAAAGCAGUCUCUUCUUGCCUGCUUCCAAGAGGAGAUGAAAUGUUCUCCUGUUCAGUGUAUGCGGAAGAGAUUGGAGCUGAGUUGCUAUCUUCGUAACAGCAAAACUACAGCGAGAUCUGAAUUCUUUGUUCAUGUUUCAUCGCCUGCUUUGAGGCAAGCAGUGGUGAUGAGAUCAGACAUCAGCCGUAGGGUGUUCCUCAUUACAAGGUCUCAGCAACACUGUGCCAGUCUGGGCAAGAAAUGUGCUUCCUCUUCUUCCACUGAGCAGGACACAGCUGAGCUGUCCAGCAGACAACUCAGUGCCUUCCUGCAGCUUUGCUACCAGUUUUUGAAGGGAAGCCCUGCUUUGCAAUCAGGAAGUUGCUUGUUCUGUGAUGAGCAUUGCUGCUGCCCCAGAGGGAGGGGAUGGCGCUGUCUGGAUGGACUUCAGAUCUACAGAAGGAACUUGCUGUUGGUACUCCACCCUAGAUCCAGUCUGCAACUGGAAAAGUUUCUUGAUUCACUGCAGACUUCGGAUUUAGGAGCCAAGAGAUGA
This 599-nucleotide long non-coding RNA is filed under the name Coturnix japonica (Japanese quail). Its description in RNAcentral is "lncRNA (ENSCJPG00005007483.1)". The record is from RNAcentral. Lineage: Eukaryota; Metazoa; Chordata; Aves; Galliformes; Phasianidae.